AAAGCGGGUUAAUAUUCCUGCACCAUCUUGUGAGCGUUGAACUAAGGGAGGACGGAGAAAGCUAGGCGAGCUGACCGGUGGUUGUGUCAGUCUAAAGGUGUAGGGGUGUCGCGUACGAUUAAAGGCGCGGCAGCCAUCCCCGAGACUCCAUGGCGCCCCGUAAGGGGUAAGUCGCUGAUGCUCUGCUUCCAAGAAAAGUCCCGUAGGGAGCUUACAGGGUGUCCGUACCGCAAACCGACACAGGUGGGCGAGGAGAAAAUCCUAAGGCGCUUGAGAGAACUCUCCUCCAAGGAACUAGGCAAAUUUCCACCGUAACUUCGGAAGAAGGUGGGCCUCUGGUAGGUGUAGGCGUACAGCCGAAGCCGAAUGAGGUUGCAGAGAAAUGGCGGUAGCGACUGUUUACCAAAAACACAGGACUCUGCGAAGGCGACAAGCCGACGUAUAGGGUCUGACUCCUGCCCGGUGCUGGAAGGUUAAGGGGAUUCGUCAGCCGCAAGGUGAAGCGAUGAUCCGAAGCCCCAGUAAACGGCGGCCGUAACUAUAACGGUCCUAAGGUAGCGAAAUUCCUUGUCGGGUAAGUUCCGACCUGCACGAAUGGAGUAACGACUUCCGCGCUGUCUCGGAGAGGGACUCAGCGAAAUUGAAAUAGCUGUGCCGAUGCAGUUUACCCGCAGCAAGACGGAAAGACCCCGUGAACCUUUACUAUAACUUGACAGUGACACUAGGGAUUGACUGUGUAGGAUAGGUGGGAGCCUUUGAAGCCGGGCCGCUAGGUUCGGUGGAGGCAACGGUGAAAUACCACCCUGUUGAUUUCUGGUGUCUAACCAUGUCCCGUCAGCCGGGAUUGGGACACUGUCUGGUGGGUAGUUUGACUGGGGCGGUCGCCUCCCAAAAAGUAACGGAGGCGCGCGAUGGUUCCCUCAGCCCGAUUGGAAACCGGGCGUCGAGUGCAAUGGCAUAAGGGAGCUUGACUGCGAGACGGACACGUCGAGCAGGUGCGAAAGCAGGUCAUAGUGAUCCGGUGGUCCUGAAUGGAAGGGCCAUCGCUCAACGGAUAAAAGGUACUCCGGGGAUAACAGGCUUAUCUCCCCCAAGAGUUCACAUCGACGGGGAGGUUUGGCACCUCGAUGUCGGCUCAUCGCAUCCUGGGGCUGGAGCAGGUCCCAAGGGUUUGGCUGUUCGCCAAUUAAAGCGGUACGCGAGCUGGGUUCAAAACGUCGUGAGACAGUUUGGUCCCUAUCUGCUGUGGGCGUAGGAUACUUGAGAGGCUCUGACCUUAGUACGAGAGGACCGGGUUGGAGGCACCGCUGGUGUACCAGUUGUCUCGCCAGAGGCAUCGCUGGGUAGCCAUGUGCCGAUU
Molecule: ribosomal RNA, 1360 nt
Filed under: Myxococcus virescens
Lineage: Bacteria; Pseudomonadati; Myxococcota; Myxococcia; Myxococcales; Myxococcaceae
Description: bacterial LSU rRNA
Rfam family: Bacterial large subunit ribosomal RNA
Source: RNAcentral